Non-coding RNA from Podarcis lilfordi (Lilford's wall lizard), 94 nucleotides. The record is from the annotation of a GenBank genome assembly. Lineage: Eukaryota; Metazoa; Chordata; Lepidosauria; Squamata; Lacertidae.
UGGGGGAUAGCUCAGUCGGUAGAGCAUGAGACUCUUAGUUCUCAAGGUUGUUGUGGGUUCAAGCUGUUAGGAUAUUUCCGUUCCACCUUAAAAG